ACCCGACGACAAGAUGACCGCCGCGCCAAGUUCAAACAAAGUCAAAGGAGCGCUGUCGCUGACUUGUCGAAAAAUUUGUUUCUUUUAGAGUAAAUUAGAGAUCCAGACCCAAAUGAGGAGAUAUUAACAGUACAGUAGGAGCAGGAAAGGAGUUUUCAAUCCUCAGGACCAACUCAGGAAGGUGUUCUUCAUGGACAAAUCUCAGAGCUUUGGGAUCAAGCAGAGCACACCUAGGACCCGUUUCAUGAUGAGUCACAACUACUGUAACGGUGUCAUUAAGGCAACUACCAUGGUAACAUGGCUCAGCAACCAAUCAUAUUCAAAGUUACCAUGGUAGUUGCCUUAAUGGCAAAGUUACAAUAGUUGAGAAACUUUUUAUGAAACGGGGCCGCAAGAGGAUGGAGCUCCCCGUCAUCCACCAUCAUCCAGCGCAGUGCAGGGCUUGAUGGUCAUCUUGUGGUGCUGCUAGCUGAUGAUGGGUCAAUGAACUUUGCUGGGACAGCCUGGAAAUGCAAAGAUGGAUCCAGUGCAGUACGGAGCAUGAUGGUCAUCUUGUGGUCCUGCUUGCUGACUAUGGGUCAACAAACUUUGCUGGGACAGCCAGGAAAGGUGACAACAAUGACCAAGGUCUUGUUACUAAACUGAAGGAUACCCCGGGAUCAAGGAAGCAGCGUUAGGCAAGGCCCGUGUCUUAGGCCUUGACCUCCACUGGACAACAGUAUGCCUUUUGAAUCAGCAAUAAAGGUCAAUGUGGACAAGGGGUCAUUGCUGGACAUCCUGCCAACGAAGACCAGCAGCUGAGAAGAUUCUUUCAGGUUGGAGGACCAGAGCAUUUGACCUCAUUGAUUGCAGGGGUAGGCCCUAGACCUCACAAACGUGGCUUCCUGUCUGGUUUGAGCUGGGAUCUUCCUGCCAGAAUCACACAGUUAGUGACGUCACUACCAAGAGACCUAUUUUUCAGUGGGCAGAGAAGGGCACUGGACACCGUUGAGCAUGGUAUGCAGCUUCCAUAAUUCAUAUCACUCAAUGUACAGCAUGGAUACAUCCCUAUCUUGUGUGAACCAUCUUCCAGCAUGAAUAAGAGAGCUAGUUUACCACAGACAAGGACAUGACACCAAUCUUGAAAUCAUCAUCUACAAGGAAUGGAUAGUGUGAGCAGUUAUUGAUGUUUAGUCAUAUCACUCCGUGUACAGAAUGGCUACAUCCCCUAUCUUGUGUGAACCAUCUUCCAGUAUAAAUGAGAGAGCUACAUGUAGUCUACCAGAGUCAAGGACAUGACACCAAUCUUGAAAUCAUCAUCUACAUGGAAUGUCUGGAUGAGUAUGGGAAUUUUGCCAUAGUUUCAGAAGCAAACGGUCAGAUCUCUACAUUUAUUAUUUGGAGGUUGUAUACAAAAAUACAAUUAUGCAUAUUGACUUGGUAUGCAUUUUUUCACAUAAAUAAAAAAUCAAAUUUUACAGCCACAUUUUUUCCAUUUUUCUUUAGGGAACUCUUAUUUAUUGAAUUAUGAGUGGGGAAUAUUACAAAAGACGGCAACAAUUUCCAAGGACACAAAGGGGCAUUUAGUCCAGUAAACGGGCAUCCACAAAUUAUUUAUUAUCAAACAAAUUGAAUGAACCAAAUAGGUAAAAUAUAUUGAAAAAAUGUUAUUUUAUUUAAUAUGUGACUUUACCUUUGCUUGCCAUAUAUAUUGCCCCAUUUACACAAUUUAUGGUAUGUGAAAAAAUAAGUUUUUAAAAACUUUAUGGUAUAUGAUUUGAGAAAGUGGACAGUUUCCACUUUCCUUUUAUGCUGAUGUUAAAGUCACAUUUGAAUGAUUCAAAACAGAAAAAAAAGGUUAAUUUACCCAAAAUCAGUGAUUUGUUUAAAUAGGACAAUUUACAUGGCCAGUGAGGUUAUAUGCAUUUGCUACUCAUGAACACAUUUGUAUGUGUUUGAUAAUGGAUCCACGGGGCAGGUCCAAACUAUUAUCUGUAUCUCAAUUAUAUGUUCUUUCAUUAAUGGAUGCAUACAAUGUAGGGCAUACUUACUAGAAAAAAAAAGGAUUUGUGCAUAAUGUUGGAAAUGUUUCCAAGUAUUGUGAGGCUUAGAAUUGUUUGGUAAUCAAGCCUUGAAUGUAUUUGUGGAGAAUUCUUGUGUUAACUAGUCUGCAAAAGUGGAUCCAAAGGUUUUCCAGAGUUUUUGCCUUUUGUGUUUUAUCUCUGGUUUUUUACCCUGGAUCUACUUGUCGUAGAAUUUCUUAACACAAACAUUUCUCCCUCCCAACUUCUGUGCACAAUACCUUUAUAAUAUUCUCCAUGAAUGUUGUUAAUAUGUUCUGUCCAAUUUGGUCAAUUGUUACUCAAAGGAGGGUGAUAGAUCAAAUGCACAGAGAAUGAUAUGUGUGGUGCUAUUAAUCUCUAACCCUAAAAAGACUUAAAAACAAACAAGCAAAUCUUGCGCAACGUUUGAGACCAAAUUUACAACUCCUGGGUCUGCAGUUCCAAAAUUAUAAAACAUGUAGUUACAUGUCAGACAUCAAAUUGCUAAGAAAAGCCUUUAUUUCAUGAACUGUAAAAAUCCAAUGCAAAUUCUAUUUCUAGCCAAAAUUCAUAACUGUGUCAUUAAUUUUUUUUUGCAUCAUUAAAAAAAUGAAAACAAAGAAAUACAUAACAAAUUGCAAAAAAUAAAAUACAUAAUAGAGCAUUUUGAUAACAAUUAUUCUUUGUUGUGUGUUUGAUCUGAAUCCAGCAAAGAGUCUCCAAACAAAAACAUAUCAGUACUUUAAGAGCUUUUUUUUAUAGAUUCAAGCAAAAAUUCUGAUUUUAUGCAGUAAUUAGCAUUAUUAAUUGAUGAAGAAUUAAACUUGAAUAAUUUUGGAGCAAUCAUACAUACAAUUUUGUAGAUUAUACAUGUAUCAUGGUUGACAUGUGUAUUGAUUUUCAUCAUGCUUGCACAAUCAACUGCCGAGAACUUUAAGGGGGAAAUUUAGCUCUUCAUCAUUCCAGCCUCGAAGAUACCCAAGUCUUAUUUUGGUCAAUCUAUUCAUUAAAGCAUAUUUUUCAGUUCAAUUUUGAAUAACUUUUGCUUAUAGAAAUUAAAGAUACAAGUGAAAAUAACUUUUUACUUAAAUUUAUGCUUUUACAGAUAUUGGAGAAAAUUUAAAAUGCUCUUUUUACACCACAAAUCCUGUUUUCAUUCUUUUCAAGGGGUUGGCAUUGCUGACAAUGACUUACUCACAUAUAGUUGUUAUUAGGUCAUAGGUCACAGAUAUCAAUUUGUAUCCAAAAAUUUGUUGUUCUUGUGAUUAGCAAAGAAUUGGUUCAUUGUAUACCUGAAAAUAUCACUUGCCCUGCGACAACUUCAGGUUUGAUUCAGGGAUCGAUUUUAAACUUUGCUCAUGAAUGCAUAUGUGAGUAAAGAUCUCAUUACAUAUUUUUUGGUCACAAUGGCAAAGGUCAUGAGGUUAUUAUUUUUAAUUGUAUGUGUGUUAGUCUGGCAAUGGUGAAUGUAUUAACUUCGACUGCAUGCAGUUAAGAAAUUAUUUAGUUUCUCUUAAUUAUUCAUGGCCCUAAUAUUUUAUUAGAGAAAAAAAUUCCACUCUAUAUAGGCUAGUGUUUGAAAGCGUUUGUUACUUAAUUUAUUACUUUAGAUUUUAAAAUGUUUAUGAAGCUAGCAAAACAACUCUGAAAAGUGUUUCACAAGUGAAUAAAUACAAUUUAAAAAGUCAUGCCUAAGUGUGAGUGUGCAUGUAAUAUUUAAUGCACAGUCUUAUUGAUUCGUAUGCACCAGCGUAUGAGUCCUCUGAGCGUGAUCCAACCAGUAUUGUGACCCAUUAUUUUCCGUGUGCAAGUGUAAAUUCAAAAGUGAAUUGAAUCACACACUUAAAUCUUUGUGAAACACCUCUUUAGUUUGUUGUGUCAGAUAGCUUGGACUUGCCCUGUAAUGUACUAUUGUCUGUAUCAUAAUUAUACUUGAUUUGUAUUCAUCAUUUUUUUUUCUUUCUUGAAUAAAAUGUAAGACCAGCAGCCGAGAAGAUUCAUUCAAGUUGGAGGACCAUGGCAGUUGACCUCAUUGAUUGCUGGGGUAGGCCCUAGACCUCACAAACAUGGCUUGCUGUCUGGUUUGAGCUGGGAUCUUCCUGCCAGAAUCACACAAUUAGUGAUGUCACUACCAACAGAUCUGUUUUUCAGUGUGCAGAGAAGGGCAUUGGACACUGUUGUGCAUGGCAUACAGCUUCCUUAAUGUAAGUGCUUUAUUGAUGAUUUCAAUGAUAUCUUGCGUAGCCUAGAGUAUGUGAGACAAAUGCAAACGGUUUUCCAGCAAUUAUUAUGGUAUUCUGAGGGUAAAUAUAGAAAUAUUGGGCAGAAAUAUCUAAAUUGCACUUAUUUAAUUCAUGGCAUUUUCUUUACUUUUUGGAAUGAAAUUCUUUUCAUGAAAAUCCAUAAAAACAAUACCAUUACUCCACCCUCCUCUUUGGUUUCUACUUGAAAAUACCAGUAUUAUCUGUUUAUCCAUGAAUUGCAGUCUCUUGUACCUCCCUGUACUAUCCACUCAAGCUGUCACUCUGAAUUCAUCUUUUUUUACACCCUCUCAACACGAUAUUCACCAUGACUGAUAUGAUGAUAAGACAAUUUGUGAUUAUAUUUAUAAAUUUCAAUUACAUU
Long non-coding RNA from Lytechinus pictus (painted urchin), 4646 nucleotides. RefSeq lists it as uncharacterized. The record is from RefSeq and is a predicted model, not a curated record. The transcript has 7 exons. Lineage: Eukaryota; Metazoa; Echinodermata; Echinoidea; Temnopleuroida; Toxopneustidae.